Molecule: long non-coding RNA, 320 nt
Filed under: Lathyrus oleraceus (garden pea)
Lineage: Eukaryota; Viridiplantae; Streptophyta; Magnoliopsida; Fabales; Fabaceae
Description: Pisum sativum (pea) long non-coding RNA (PSAT_LNC017466)
Source: RNAcentral
GAAUCUUUUUACUUAAGGUGAUUUUCUAGGGCGAAAGUUCUUUAAGGGGGGAGAGUCGUAACACCCCAGUUUUGGAUUUAUUGAAAUUACUUGGUUUUAUGAUUUUUGUGUAUUUAUUUGAUUAUUAGGUAAUAUUAAUUAAAUAAAUAAGGGUGGUGGGAGUGUGUGACCUUGAGGUGAGAGUGUGGAGAGUAAUUAGAGGCUAGUAGAGUUUGAUUAAGUUAUUUGAGUUUAUUUUAAUGAUUAAAAUAAUAGUAUUUUAUUAUAUUUAUUUAAUUUAAUAGAAAAUAGAAAGUUUGGGGGCUAAAGUGUGAUUUAUG